AAAAGAGGCCGCAACUGGCGAGGGUGGAGGACCACCGGGAAGCGGCUGAAGCAGCCUCGCACGGCGCCGCCCGCCUGGGCGCUGAGG
RNAcentral lists this non-coding RNA (87 nucleotides) under Actinomyces sp. RNAcentral's name for it is "ZTP sequence". It matches the Rfam family "ZMP/ZTP riboswitch aptamer (pfl RNA motif)". Rfam says of the family: Previously known as pfl RNA. ZMP is also known as AICAR. Lineage: Bacteria; Bacillati; Actinomycetota; Actinomycetes; Actinomycetales; Actinomycetaceae. RNAcentral also lists the same sequence under 1 other name. The record is from RNAcentral.